AUGCACAGAUUUGAGUUCCCUUCAAAAUCACAUCAUCAUGCUGUCAAGUUGGUGAUUACGGUGUCUCUUAAUCUUAAUUUGAGUCUCAGCCUGUUUGGAUUUCAGAAAGCAAAACCAGGAGUCAUGCUUCCAUGUACAAGUUACUACUAUCUCUCUGCCAUAUCAACCAGGGCAUUGGAUGGUUGUGUUCUGCUGAUCGUUCACAAGUUGACCAGAAGAAGCCAGUCCAAAAACUCCCUUGCGACGACGCCAUGCACAAAUGGUAGGCGGACCAGAUCCAUAGGCCCGGACAGAUGGAAUUCACAUGCGCUUCUUCAGAAAUCAGGAUGGUCAGGUUGA
This 339-nucleotide ribosomal RNA is filed under the name Triticum aestivum (bread wheat). Its description in RNAcentral is "partial small subunit ribosomal RNA". Lineage: Eukaryota; Viridiplantae; Streptophyta; Magnoliopsida; Poales; Poaceae. The record is from RNAcentral.